GUCCUUUAGAUUUGAAUUAAAGGUCUAACCUGCCCACUGAAAAAUUUUGAAUGGCCGCAGUAAAUUGACUGUGCAAAGGUAGCAUAAUCAAUAGUUUUUUAAUUAAAAGCUUGUAUGAAUGGUUGGACGAGAUAAAAUCUGUCUUUAUUUAAAAAGUAGAAUUUAAUUUUUAAGUUAAAAAGCUUAAAUUAAAUUAAAAGACGAGAAGACCCUAUAGAUCUUUAUAAUAAAUUAUUUAUUUUUAUUGAAGAUUAUUUAGUUAUUUUAAUUAUUUUAUUAUUUUAUUGGGGUAAUAUUAAGAUUAAAUUAAUUCUUUUUUUUAUAAACAUUUAUUUUUGAUUAAUUGAUCCAUUAUUAGUGAUUAUAAGAUUAAGUUACCUUAGGGAUAACAGCGUAAUUUUUUUAGAGAGUUCUUAUCGAUAAAAAAGUUUGCGACCUCGAUGUUGGAUUAAAAAUUAUUUUAGGUGUAGUAGUUUAAAAUUUUGGUCUGUUCGACCAUUGAAUUUUUACAUGAUCUGAGUUCAGACCGGUGUAAGCCAGGUCGGUUUCUAUCUUUAGUUAAUUAAAAUAUUUUAGUACGAAAGGACCAAGUAUUUAAUAUAUUAAUAUUUUUAAUUUGAAUAU
This 624-nucleotide ribosomal RNA is filed under the name Stictonectes sp. IBE PA312. Its description in RNAcentral is "partial 16S ribosomal RNA". It matches the Rfam family "Bacterial large subunit ribosomal RNA", at positions 1829 to 2768 of the family's 2925-position model. Lineage: Eukaryota; Metazoa; Arthropoda; Insecta; Coleoptera; Dytiscidae. RNAcentral also lists the same sequence under 1 other name. The record is from RNAcentral.